AAAAAAGACAAACCUGAGUUUUCGUGUCUAACUUUGACUGUCCGUCUUACAUGAAAUUUUUUUAUAAUUCAUAUUUUCAUUGUUGUUAGAUGAUAAAACAUGAUUAAUAUUUUAUGCGUGACUUGUCUUUUUAAUUUUUUUCAUAAUUUUUUUAAUAAGACGGACGGUCAAACGUUGGACACGGAAACCAAGGUUUGUCUUUUUU
This 205-nucleotide microRNA precursor is filed under the name Oryza sativa Indica Group (long-grained rice). Its description in RNAcentral is "MIR812 microRNA precursor family". It matches the Rfam family "MIR812 microRNA precursor family". The record is from Rfam by way of RNAcentral. Lineage: Eukaryota; Viridiplantae; Streptophyta; Magnoliopsida; Poales; Poaceae.